UUCUAGCUGCUCUAGUGGCUAAGAUUCCUGGUUUUCAUGCAGGCUGCCCAGGUUCAAUUCCUGAGCUGAGAA
This is a non-coding RNA of Sus scrofa (pig), 72 nucleotides long. The record is from Rfam. NCBI's taxonomy places the organism in Eukaryota, Metazoa, Chordata, Mammalia, Artiodactyla, Suidae.